RNAcentral lists this unclassified non-coding RNA (211 nucleotides) under Hevea brasiliensis (rubber tree). The record is from RNAcentral. Lineage: Eukaryota; Viridiplantae; Streptophyta; Magnoliopsida; Malpighiales; Euphorbiaceae.
UGCGGGGAUAAGAUAAGAAAAAGAAAAGAAAAGAGGGGUCACAACGCUAGCUUCCAUUGGACUAAUUUGUUUGUUACUGUGGAGGUGCCCACAGGUUAACCAGAGAUCGGCCUUGUAAAUGCAAGCUGGCUACGCAGCAUUAGAGGCUCGAGGUUGGGGCUAAGUGCACCGUGACCGCUACAAUAGCCAAUCUGUUGAAGCUAAGCGUAAU